This 460-nucleotide ribosomal RNA is filed under the name uncultured bacterium. Its description in RNAcentral is "partial 16S ribosomal RNA". It matches the Rfam family "Bacterial small subunit ribosomal RNA", at positions 338 to 795 of the family's 1533-position model. The record is from RNAcentral.
CCUACGGGUGGCAGCAGUGAGGAAUAUUGGUCAAUGGCCGGAAGGCUGAACCAGCCAUGCCGCGUGAAGGUCAGUGCCCUAUGGGCGUUAAACUUCUUUUGUGCGGGAGCAAUUAUCGUCACGUGUGGCCAGACGAGAGUACCGUACGACUAAGCAUCGGCUAACUCCGUGCCGGCAGCCGCGGUAAUACGGGGGAUGCAAGCGUUAUCCGGAUUUAUUGGGUUUAAAGGGUGCGUAGGCGGUGAGGUAAGUCAGCGGUGAAAUGCCCCGGCUCAACGGGGUGAAGUGCCAUUGAUACUGCCAUGCUGGAAUGCGGAUGCCGUGGGUGGAAGGUGUGGUGUAGCGGUGAAAUGCAUAGAGAUCACACAGAACACCGAUUGCGAAGGCAUCUCACGAAUCCGCGAUUGACGCUGAUGCACGAAAGCGUGGGUAGCAAACAGGAUUAGAUACCCCAGUAGUC